GUCUUUGGGACAUCCCAUAAAAUUGGAACAAUAAAGAGAAGAUUAGAAAUGGCCCUUCGCAAAGAUGAUAUUAUUCAAAUACUUUUUAAAAAUUAGU
RNAcentral lists this small nuclear RNA (97 nucleotides) under Nicotiana sylvestris (wood tobacco). Lineage: Eukaryota; Viridiplantae; Streptophyta; Magnoliopsida; Solanales; Solanaceae. The record is from RNAcentral. RNAcentral also lists the same sequence under 1 other name.